RNAcentral lists this long non-coding RNA (441 nucleotides) under Equus caballus (horse). Its description in RNAcentral is "lncRNA (ENSECAG00000056813.1)". Lineage: Eukaryota; Metazoa; Chordata; Mammalia; Perissodactyla; Equidae. The record is from RNAcentral.
UGGGAACCAGCACAGAGCAGAGGGAGGAGGGCCUUUUGGGAGCUCAGAGAAGACUGAUUCCACUUGGGAUGAGACAGGAGGAGAUGAUAUUAUUCCAGCAGACUGGGGUCCACGGGCUGGAGAGAAAGCCCUCUUACCUCUUUCUGAGAAUGCAAUCCUGGUUGUUUCAAGAAAAUUCUGUCCGGGGGCUGGCUCCGUGGUCGAGUGCCCCUGAGGUGUGGCCACCUGGAGAAAGCCCAAGGGAGCCAGCGCCUGGAACCAAGAUCAAGGAUCACCAGCUACACAGUGUCACUAUGUUUAAGCCUCCAACCAAUGGCUUCCCAUCUGGCCGAGGAUAAGCUGCAAGAGCCUCAGUGUCUGCUCCAGAGCCACAUAACCGAGUUUGAAGCCAAGCAAGAUGGUCUGACUCCAACAUCCCCCUCAUUCCUAACCCCUACAAUA